Long non-coding RNA from Symsagittifera roscoffensis, 294 nucleotides. RefSeq lists it as uncharacterized. The record is from RefSeq and is a predicted model, not a curated record. The transcript is spliced from 3 exons. Lineage: Eukaryota; Metazoa; Xenacoelomorpha; Acoela; Convolutidae.
GUGCUUUCAGAGCAAGUCAGCCAAUAUUCAGUGCAUAUCGUGAAUCAUCAAUAUCCAGAAUUUCCAAUAAAGGUUACACCGGAAAAAAAUCUGACGCCGAAAAGUUUCGAUUUGGAUUCUCCCGACAGGACCAGACAUCUCUAUUAGUCAAACAUGUUAAAUAUUUAAAGGAAGAUGGCAGCAGCACAUAUCAGUCUCAGUCGAGCACUGGAAUUACACGAAGCAGAGACAAAACUUCAAAAACGAGCAGAGCAAGUUUUUACUCUGUUUCAAAUACAAACAGCAGUCCGGAAG